GACGAGGGACCUAGCGUUGUUCGGAAUCAUUGGGCGUAAAGCGGAUGUAGGUGGCUUCGUAAGUCAGGUGAUGGAAAGCCCAGAGCCUCAACUCUGGAAGUGCAUUUGAUACUGCGAAGCUUGAGUGUGGAAGAGGUAAGUAGAAUACCUGGUGUAGUGGUGAAAUACGUAGAUAUCAGGUGGAAUACCGGAGGCGAAGGCGGCUUACUGGUCCAACACUGACACUGAGAUCGAAAGCGUGGGUAGCAAACAGG
Molecule: ribosomal RNA, 254 nt
Filed under: uncultured bacterium
Lineage: Bacteria
Description: partial 16S ribosomal RNA
Rfam family: Bacterial small subunit ribosomal RNA
Source: RNAcentral